RNAcentral lists this ribosomal RNA (421 nucleotides) under uncultured bacterium. RNAcentral describes it as "partial 16S ribosomal RNA". It matches the Rfam family "Bacterial small subunit ribosomal RNA", at positions 361 to 774 of the family's 1533-position model. The record is from RNAcentral.
AUCUUCCGCAAUGGACGAAAGUCUGACGGAGCAACGCCGCGUGAGUGAUGAAGGUNUUNNGAUCGNANAGUUCUGUUGUGAGGNNNNNACAAGUACGAGCGUAACUGCUCGUACCUUGACGGUACCUCAUUAGAAAGCCACGGCUAACUACGUGCCAGCAGCCGCGGUAAUACGUAGGUGGCAAGCGUUGUCCGGAAUUAUUGGGCGUAAAGCGCGCGCAGGCGGCCUUUUAAGUCUGAUGUGAAAGCCCACGGCUCAACCGUGGAAGGUCAUUGGAAACUGGAAGGCUUGAGUACAGAAGAGGAAAGCGGAAUUCCAUGUGUAGCGGUGAAAUGCGUAGAGAUGUGGAGGAACACCAGUGGCGAAGGCGGCUUUCUGGUCUGUAACUGACGCUGAGGCGCGAAAGCGUGGGGAGCAAACA